RNAcentral lists this ribosomal RNA (253 nucleotides) under uncultured bacterium. RNAcentral's name for it is "partial 16S ribosomal RNA". It matches the Rfam family "Bacterial small subunit ribosomal RNA", at positions 524 to 776 of the family's 1533-position model. The record is from RNAcentral.
UACGUAGGCAGCGAGCGUUGUUCGAAGUUACUGGGCGUAAAGAGUGCGUAGGCGGUUUUCUAAGUUUGGGGUGAAAUCUCCCGGCUUAACUGGGAGGGUGCGCCGAAGACUGGAAGGCUUGAGUAUGGGAGAGGUAAGCGGAAUUCCUGGUGUAGCGGUGAAAUGCGUAGAUAUCAGGAGGAACACCUGCGGUGUAGACGGCUUACUGGACCAUAACUGACGCUGAGGCACGAAAGCGUGGGUAGCAAACAGG